Molecule: long non-coding RNA, 1611 nt
Filed under: Marmota monax (woodchuck)
Lineage: Eukaryota; Metazoa; Chordata; Mammalia; Rodentia; Sciuridae
Source: RNAcentral
AGAAGAAAGAAAUUCAUAUUAAAACAAAAAUCAAAUUUUUCUGCUGUAAAGGAUGAGGUGAACCAGAGACCUCGAGAACUGCCUGAGAGAGGUUAAAUUAUUAUAGCAUUGGAGAGGGUACUUUAAAAAGCUGUAUCAAGGCCUAAAAGUGUUGUGACUUGUUUUCUAUUUGUUUGUUUGUUUGCGGUGCUGGGGAUGAAAAGCAGGGUUUCAUGAACGCCAGGCAAGCCCUCUACCGCGAAGCCACAGCCCCAGUUCUGUAUUGUUAUUUUGAGACGGUCUCAUUAAGUUGCCCAGGCUGGCCUCGAAAUUCCCAUCCUCCUGCUUCAGGCUCUCAAGUCUCAGGGUUUUAAGAUUUUAAUAUCAGUUGAGUCAAGUUUUAGUGCCAGAAAUUUAUUCUAAAGAAAUAAUCAUGGAUGUACAGAAAGAUUUAGUAAUCUGGGUGUUCAUUAUAUCCUUGAUUAAAAUGAGAAAAUGUGAGAUAAGCUAAAUGACUAAUGAUGAGCUAACAUGCAUAAUGUUAGGAUAAUAACUGGAAAGUGGUUGCAAUAUUCACUUAAUUGAAAGAAGUAGGUUGCAAAACUAUAUAAAGGAUCUCGUUUACUUUGUAGACUCCCACAUGCAUAUCAGAAUGAAAAUAUUAAAAUGUUAAUAGUGAUUAUUUGGGGGUGGGAGAAUCAUUUAUAUUUAUGGAAACAACUAGCAAUUCCCUAUCACUAUCGUUAUCUAUAAUUGUAACUUCUUUCUUUCUUUAUAAUGGUUCUCAGUCCCUGUCCCACCGUGAGACCCAAGUGCCUUUGGAUCACGGAUCUUUCUGAUCUACACCCUGCUGUGUCCUGAGGACUUACGGGCAGUACGCAGACCCUCAGCAGACUUGUUUGUAUCUGUGAGUGAAUACAUUGUUUUCAUUGUAAAAAGAUCUACUUAAAAUCCAACUCAUUGGGCUGGGACUGUAGCUCAGUGGCAGAGCGCUUGCCUAGCUUGCAUGGGUUCCAUCCUCAGCACCACAUAAAAAUAAACAAAUAAAAUAAAGGCAUUCUUUCCAUCUACAACUACAAAAAAAGUUUUUUAAAAACCCAAACUCAUCAUGUGCAUUAUAGAGGGGUGGAUGUGCAUAGUCCCUGACACUUGUUCCUCCACAGGAACAAAUAUUGGCACCUUCUUCUAGAGGCUUCACCAAAUCCCCCACCUCUGGGAAAACUGGGGUACCCACAGUGUGGCAGCCACAGUGCUGGGUCUUGCAUGGCGGCCUUGGUGCUUCCUGCUGGCUUCCUGAUGCCCCUGUCUUAUCCCCUUGGGUGUGCCUGGGGAAGAUUCCAUCUGAUUUGCCUCUGCCCAAAGCCACUGCCAAUGCUUUGCACGUGGUGGGCACUCCAUACCUGUAAAUGUUCUGCACGAGCAUUUUGUGACUUGUGUGUCGGACCAGCUAUAUGCUACUGAAAACCACCACAUGCAACGAACUUCAGUUUUGUAGUUUGGGAUCUUCAGGAAAUAUGCUGUCUCCAAGAAAUGCCUAACACUUUAGCCAGGGCAAAUGGCAGCCCGGGUUAAGACACUGACACUCUGCUAUGGAGACGAGGGUCCAUCCUCAUGUUACCGCUUCGACUGAAG